AUUGAACGCUAGCGGGAUGCUUUACACAUGCAAGUCGAACGGCAGCGCGGACUUCGGUCUGGCGGCGAGUGGCGAACGGGUGAGUAAUGUAUCGGAACGUGCCCAGUAGCGGGGGAUAACUACGCGAAAGCGUAGCUAAUACCGCAUACGCCCUACGGGGGAAAGCAGGGGAUCGUAAGACCUUGCACUAUUGGAGCGGCCGAUAUCGGAUUAGCUAGUUGGUGAGGUAACGGCCCACCAAGGCGACGAUCCGUAGCUGGUUUGAGAGGACGACCAGCCACACUGGGACUGAGACACGGCCCAGACUCCUACGGGAGGCAGCAGUGGGGAAUUUUGGACAAUGGGGGCAACCCUGAUCCAGCCAUCCCGCGUGUGCGAUGAAGGCCUUCGGGUUGUAAAGCACUUUUGGCAGGAAAGAAACGUCGCGGGCUAAUACCCCGUGGAACUGACGGUACCUGCAGAAUAAGCACCGGCUAACUACGUG
RNAcentral lists this ribosomal RNA (484 nucleotides) under uncultured bacterium. RNAcentral's name for it is "partial 16S ribosomal RNA". It matches the Rfam family "Bacterial small subunit ribosomal RNA", at positions 30 to 507 of the family's 1533-position model. The record is from RNAcentral.